RNAcentral lists this ribosomal RNA (491 nucleotides) under Coconut root wilt phytoplasma. Its description in RNAcentral is "bacterial SSU rRNA". It matches the Rfam family "Bacterial small subunit ribosomal RNA", at positions 607 to 1109 of the family's 1533-position model. Lineage: Bacteria; Bacillati; Mycoplasmatota; Mollicutes; Acholeplasmatales; Acholeplasmataceae. The record is from RNAcentral.
GCUUAACGUUGUCCUGCUAGAGAAACUAUUAGACUAGAGUGAGAUAGAGGCAAGUGGAAUUCCAUGUGUAGCGGUAAAAUGCGUAAAUAUAUGGAGGAACACCAGAGGCGUAGGCGGCUUGCUGGGUCUUUACUGACGCUGAGGCACGAAAGCGGGGGGAGCAAACAGGAUUAGAUACCCUGGUAGUCCACGCCGUAAACGAUGAGUACUAAGUGUCGGGAUUACUCGGUACUGAAGUUAACACAUUAAGUACUCCGCCUGAGUAGUACGUACGCAAGUAUGAAACUUAAAGGAAUUGACGGGACUCCGCACAAGCGGUGGAUCAUGUUGUUUAAUUCGAAGAUACACGAAAAACCUUACCAGGUCUUGACAUACUCUGCAAAGCUAUAGCGAUAUAGUGGAGGUUAUCAGGGAUACAGGUGGUGCAUGGUUGUCGUCAGCUCGUGUCGUGAGAUGUUAGGUUAAGUCCUAAAACGAGCGCAACCCUUGUC